RNAcentral lists this ribosomal RNA (550 nucleotides) under uncultured bacterium. Its description in RNAcentral is "bacterial SSU rRNA". It matches the Rfam family "Bacterial small subunit ribosomal RNA", at positions 121 to 686 of the family's 1533-position model. The record is from RNAcentral.
GUAAUCUACCCUCGAGUGGGGAAUAACGUUCGGAAACGAACGCUAAUACCGCAUAACGCAGCGGCACCGCAAGGUGACAGUUGUUAAAGGAGUAAUUCGCUUGAGGAGGAGCUUGCGGCAGAUUAGCUUGUUGGUAAGGUAACGGCUUACCAAGGCUACGAUCUGUAUCCGGUCUAAGAGGACGGUCGGACACACUGACACUGAAUAACGGGUCAGACUCCUACGGGAGGCAGCAGUCGGGAAUUUUGGGCAAUGGGCGAAAGCCUGACCCAGCAACGCCGCGUGAAGGAUGAAGUAUUUCGGUAUGUAAACUUCGAAAGAAUAGGAAGAAUAAAUGACGGUACUAUUUAUAAGCUCCGGCUAACUACGUGCCAGCAGCCGCGGUAAUACGUAGGGAGCAAGCGUUGUUCGGAUUUACUGGGCGUAAAGGGCGCGUAGGCGGCGCGGUAAGUCACUUGUGAAAUCUCUGAGCUUAACUCAGAACGGCCAAGUGAUACUGCAGUGCUAGAGUGUAGAAGGGGCAAUCGGAAUUCUUGGUGUAGCGGUGAAA